AGUGAACGCUGGCGGUAGGCCUAACACAUGCAAGUCGAACGGCAGCACAGUAAGAGCUUGCUCUUACGGGUGGCGAGUGGCGGACGGGUGAGGAAUACAUCGGAAUCUACUUUUUCGUGGGGGAUAACGUAGGGAAACUUACGCUAAUACCGCAUACGACCUUCGGGUGAAAGCAGGGGAUCUUCGGACCUUGCGCGAUUGAAUGAGCCGAUGUCGGAUUAGCUAGUUGGCGGGGUAAAGGCCCACCAAGGCGACGAUCCGUAGCUGGUCUGAGAGGAUGAUCAGCCACACUAGAACUGAGACACGGUCCAGACUCCUACGGGAGGCAGCAGUGGGGAAUAGUGGACAAUGGGCGCGAGCCUGAUCCAGCCAUACCGCGUAGGUGAAGAAGGCCUUCGGGUUGUAAAGCCCUUUUGUUGGGAAAGAAAAGCAGCAGGUUAAUACCCCGCUGUUCUGACGGUACCCAAAGAAUAAGCACCGGCUAACUUCGUG
Molecule: ribosomal RNA, 492 nt
Filed under: uncultured bacterium
Lineage: Bacteria
Description: partial 16S ribosomal RNA
Rfam family: Bacterial small subunit ribosomal RNA
Source: RNAcentral